This 482-nucleotide ribosomal RNA is filed under the name uncultured bacterium. RNAcentral describes it as "bacterial SSU rRNA". It matches the Rfam family "Bacterial small subunit ribosomal RNA", at positions 29 to 506 of the family's 1533-position model. The record is from RNAcentral.
AUGAACGCUAGCGGCAGGCCUAAUACAUGCAAGCUGAACGGCAAGAGCUUUAGCAAUAGAGUUCCUAGAGUAGCGUAAGGGUGCGUAACACGUAUGCAAUCUACCCUCAACAGGAGGAUAGCUCCCCGAAAGGGGAAUUAAGACUCCAUAAGAUCACGGUGUGGCAUCACAGAGUGAUUAAACUACAAGGGGUUGAGGAUGAGCAUGCGUCUGAUUAGUUAGUUGGUGCGGGUAACGGCCCACCAAGACGAUGAUCAGUAGGGGAACUGAGAGGUUGGUCCCCCACACUGGCACUGAGAUACGGGCCAGACUCCUACGGGAGGCAGCAGUAGGGAAUAUUGGACAAUGGGUGCAAGCCUGAUCCAGCCAUGCCGCGUGCAGGAAGAAGGCCUUCUGGGUCGUAAACUGCUUUUACCGGGGGAUAAAAUACUCUUGCGAGAGGAAUUGAAAGUACCUGGUGAAUAAGCCACGGCUAACUACGU